This is a non-coding RNA of Hydnum rufescens UP504, 83 nucleotides long. The record is from the annotation of a GenBank genome assembly. Lineage: Eukaryota; Fungi; Basidiomycota; Agaricomycetes; Cantharellales; Hydnaceae.
UCGUGUAUAGUCUAACGGCUAUGAUACCACUCUCUCAUCUAGUGUGGUCAGUGGGGGCCGGGGUUCGACUCCCCGUACGCGAA